This is a long non-coding RNA of Equus caballus (horse), 7437 nucleotides long. Lineage: Eukaryota; Metazoa; Chordata; Mammalia; Perissodactyla; Equidae. The record is from Ensembl.
GCUACAUUUUAUUUUACAUACAUUUUACCUCAAAGACUGGAUUGGAAAAAAAAUGAAGAGUAUAAAGAAUAUCAUCCUAAAGUCCUUGUUUUGCAAGCAGAUUUUGCUACACAGUUGAAAUUGACCAUUAUCAUGGCAGAGAAGGCUAACUCUUCUUUAUAACUGUUAUGAAAAUAUUUAAACACUAAAAAAAUCAUUUGGAAAAGAAUAACACUAAGUCGGGGUGUGGCAGAGAAUGAGAAGACAGCAGAGGGGAGGAACAAGGCAAGAACGAAGCAAUCUUGGGUGCAGAAAAGGCUUGGUGAAUAUGAGGGCGAAGUCACAGGCCCUAUUAGGAGUAAUCUCAACAUCCGCCUGAAGGGAAUUUCGUGGGCUGUGGACCCCAACUCCCGGGACCCAUGUGCCUGGACUGCGGGAAUCUGAUCUAGGCCAGAUCCCCUCUCCCUGGAGCAGGCGGGUCAGCACAGAGAGAGAGCAGCUCAUCCCUUAGAGAGGACCACUGAUGGGAGCUCAGCCCUUAGGGAGGACCACGGAUGGGGAGGCGGCCCUGGCUCCUCCCAGUUGGCAAGUCCUGAUUUGCUCACUGCUGUGAUCCAGCUGUGACUCUGGGUUCAGUCCAUCUCUCCCCUCACAAUCCUUCAGGGAUUCUUCUCGUAAAGGUGAGAUUUGGCUGUUCUGGCCUUCCACAUAAGUGGGGACAUGCAGCAUGCACUGUUUCUGGUGUAAGGCCUCUUCUAAUUAGUAAGAUGCUGUUUCGAUUCAUCUCUAUUGUUGCCCAUUAUCAGGGAUUCUUUCCUGGAUAGCUGAGUAGUAUGAAUACUUCACAAUUUGUUUUUCUAUUCUCUUACGGAUUGGCACCAGAGGUAUUUCCCGGGUAGGUGAAUGUUUAGUUUUAUGAGAAACUGUGACUGUCUUUCAUAGCAGCGGCACCAUUUUAUCUUCUCACUAGAAGCAAGAAGCCUUCCAGGUGCUCCCCAUCCCAGCGAGCAUUUGGAGCUGUCAGACUUGCGAUCUUCACCCUUUCUGGUGGUUGCAUAAUGGUCUCUCUCACUGUGGUUCAAUUUUAAUUUCCCUGAUGGCUAAUGGUGUUGAACAUUUUUUAAAGGGCUUAGUGAACAUUUGUGAAUCGCUUUUUGGAAAGGGAUUGUUUAAAUGUUUUGCCCAUUUUUUAUUGGGUGGUUGGUCAUAUUAUUAUUAUUGUUAUUAUUCUUAUUACUAUUUAUCCUAACGGGAAAAAGAGAUUCAGCAGGAACAGCAAAAGGAGAGUUAGAAUUUGGGCAUCUCGUUUCAUGAUCAAUAUCUCGUGCAGGGAUGGGUAUAGGGGCAGACAGGGUUGGGGGCCUGGCAGGCAGGUCAGCCAAGUCAGUGUCCAGUAAUAAGGCAGGAGCUGGGAUGUGCAAGGUGCAAGUGGCAGGGGUCUCUGCAGUGCUGCAGCAGGCAGGAAGGAAGAACAGGCAGGCUGAUUGGCACUGCAGUCUGAAGUGGCCUCAGUUUUAUCCUCCAACACCUCGUGGUUCCGUUGGAGCUCAGCUUUCUCCUCCAAGCCUAGGUCCUCACCAAUGACUACGCAAGGAACCCAGGAGAUGGAGGCAGCUUUUCUCCUCCCAAAACACUAGCAGUGGCGGCAGCAAGGGGCGCAGACAUUUUCGUUUACAGAGCCUACAACUGGCAGAUGGCUUCGGAAAGUUCCUUCUUGACGGAGUAUCUGAAGCUUUGUUCCCUGUGUCCCCUCUGACUUCAGUGAGGCUGGAGAGCUGGGUGGAUGGCCUUCGUCCAGCUUUUGCUUUGUCCACCUCUUUGGCAGCAGGGGUAGGUUGAGAAUGGGCCACACAGCCCCCUACAUUCAGGUCAGUCCUCCACAGAGAGGGGCGGCCUCCAGGAGGGCUUUAAGAGCUGGGGAUGACAUGGCCUUUGGUGAAUGUGUAACAGCUAGAUCUUAAGUCAGCAUGAGGGCAGCCAGCUUAGGGAAAGGAAGCAAUAUUGAAUUACAGCCCUGCCUCACUAGUCUCUGUGAAUAUGUUCUCGCCUGCAUGUAGCCUAGGUGAUUAAGCACCUCUCACUUUUGCAGAAUACAUGAUCUGAUAGUUCUAUGACUCUUGCUUAUGUCUAUUUCCCAGCCGUGGUAAGACAAUAACUGUUCUCUGAGUUCCUCAGGAACAUGACGACUUCCAGGAAGAAAAAUCCUGCAUUGGUACCCAUCACAAAUGACAGAAGAAAGAAAGAAUGUGGCGCCUUGAAGUUCGUCACACGGGAUGGUCAACACCCACAAACCCCCUCCUUCACUGUCGGUUUCCCCUAUAUAACUGCCUCAAGAUUCUGUAUGAUUUGAGCAUGCUUCUUCAGGACACCAGUCCACCAUCUUCCGAUUAUGCUUAGCUAAUCAGAUAAAUUCUUUCCUCAACCACUGGCUUAUUUGCAAUUGAUUGGCACCAGGCUGCAUCGAGCAGGAGCCCCUUUUUGCUCGGUUAUAAAUGGGCUCAGAAGAUGUUUUCACUUUCUUAUUCAAGGUGUCUCCUGGGAGCUGGGAAUGGAGGUUUCCCUUGGAGGCCCAGGACUGCGCCGGAAGGAAGUGAGGGCCGCACCACCCCUGCGGGGUCCAGGGCCCUACCUGCUGAAGGCCCCCUCUCACUGCUAUGGGGGCCAGCGAGGAGCACUUCUCUGACGGUCCAUCCUGUGCUAUUUUUCUCCUCUUCUCUGCUCUUCCUUUUGUAGGAUCUUCAGGUGUGUCCCCUUUAGGCAAAGAUCUAGUGGCGACGGGAUGGCCCAGGCCUCGGAGAGGAGGCUGCCUGCUCAAGCGCCAAACGGAAGAGAGUCAUUUUGCAUCCUGGAGGAGGAAUUGUGCCCGUUCCUGAGGAGAGGAGCAACUUGGAAGAGCAAGCAGACAGCAAUGGCUUCUGAGACCCGAAGGUCAGACACACACACACCGCACCAAGGCAAGGACUCACAGAGAGGAGCACUGGGCCUGCCAGACCAGACCUUAGCUUAGCCUCUUAGCCGCAGUGUAAAAUAGGGGCGAUAAGGACCCGCGACUGCAGUAAACAGCCCGAACCAGGCCGGGAGGGUUAUUUAGACCAGACAGGAACGGAGCGGGGCGGGCGGGUGCGAGGCUUGUUGAGGAACGUGCCCCCGAGGAGCAGUUUGCGCGCUGUGGGAUCCUUGGAGAGGACUGGGACCCUCGGGGAGGUCUCCUGGCUGCCAGCUCUCCGCGCUAGGCACACACCGUCCAGCCGGCUGUGGUGAGACACCGUUGGAACGGGUGACAGAGACAGGGCGCGCGAGCCUAGGGCAGGAGGAAGUAGCGACAAAGGGCAAAGGGAGAGGUCCAACGGCCCAACCCCAGGUGGCCUCGACCUCCCCGGGACUCCGCGCAGAUGUGAAGUAUUGCGGGGGCUCACCCUCAUAUGUGCCCCCCACAAUGUAGGGACUCUUUGGGUCUGCGGCUGCUCGACCCUGCAGCGCCUGGCCCGGGGACAGUAGCUUCUGCGAUCAGUGUCCAAGCAUCCUGCAGCUACUUCCCCGGGGUCACCGGAGGGAAGAACCUGCUCAGAGUCAGAGGAGCAGCCCAGCUCCAGCAGGGAUGAUGUGGCCUACAGUGAGGUCAGACGGUGGGGGAAACACAGGGCAGAAGCAAGAGUGAGUCACCCCAUCUCUGCCUCCUGGGCCGCCGUCCCUUGCAGACCUCCGAACGAAGUCAGCACGUGGAGUUGCAGAGUGUGGCUACAUUAGUCAGAGAACAAAGACGUGCGAGCAGGGGACGAAUUAACAUGAAGAAGGCUUUAUAUAGUUAACCUGGCAAAGAAAGUGAAAGGACCAUGAAGACACUGGUGGAACUUCCCAAGCCAGUGUAUCGGCCUCUGACCAGCCUCAUCUUAACCCAUCUCCUAUGGCAUGUACAAAAGGACCUUGAGGUGUGGGGCCUCUGCUUGCUAUAGGAAGAAAAAGAGGUUAAGUUUGUGUGACGUAACUGGAAUGGGCUGAGCCUCUUCCUAGCGGAGUGAAGUUCACUCGUGGGAGACACUGGCCAUCUGCCACCAUGUCUAGAGGAAACUUUUGCAUCUGGGCCGUUGAGUUCCUGCCUCUUUCACUAGAAGAAAAUGAAUGAACUGGCGAUUUACCACUUGCAUCUGGGCAGGGGACUUAGCACCAUGGGCACCUACAACGAGCACACGCACUGCCUACUAGCAGGUCUGGAUUGGUUCAACUCCUAAGGCACCCACAGGCCACGCUGGGCUCCGGUAUCCUCGGAAUCUUCUGGGAGCUCUGGAAAGGAGGACACAGCACCAAUUGUCAGCAUCACCCCUUCAGGCAUUUCUUCACUAAGGGAGCCAUGCAGCAAACCACACAGCUGUCUGUGAGCUUUCUUCCCCCAGGUGCAGGAUCCACCCUGGCUGAAAAGUCUUAUGUCCCAAGGACACCAGCGUAUGUUGUAAUAAUUCCAUGGAUCCACUUUAAGGACCCUGAUCGAAAUUAACAACUUUCCAAUCUUAAAUUUUCCAUUCCAUCAAAAUGGUACAUAUUUCCUUAUAUUUAGGACUUUCAGAUUUUCUCUCAGAAAACACUUUGCUGUAGGGAUUGACAAUUAACAGCCCAUGGGCCAAGAUUGUGCCGCAGCCUGUUUUUGUAAAGCCAAUGAGCUGAGGAUGGUGUUAACAACUAUUAAAGUUUGUUAAAAAAAAAAAAAAAAGAAAGAAAAGGAAAAAGAAGAAAAAGAAAAAUGGAGAAUAUGCAACAAGACCAUAUGUAACCUGCAAAGUCUGUGUUAUUUAUUAUCUGGCCCUUUACAGAAAAAUUUGCCAACACCUCUUUUGUAGUUGUAGUGGUGUUAGACAACACUUGCUAAUCUAUUCCUAAAUUUCUUCUAUGCUAUCACAAAUGGUACCUUUUAAAUUUUAGUUUUCAAUUAUUCAUUGGUAGAAAAUACAACUGAUUUUUAUAUGUUAACCUUGUAUGCUGGAUUUUGUCAUUUUUGUAGUGAAGUGUUUAAGCACACUUUAUAUAAAGAUAUUUCUAACAAUCUAUUUUCAAGAUUCAUUCAGCAAGUGUUAUUUUAGUGAAUGGAAGUAAUACCCAUUCUGUAGAACUUGUAGUAAUUAUUUCUAGUAUUUUCUUUGUAGAUUCCUUAGGAUUUUCUAAACACACAAUCAUGUUUUCAACGAAUAAAGAUAGUUUUACUUCCUUUUUAUUCUGUGGCCUUUUAUUUAUUUUUUAUACCUUUAUAGUUGCUAUAAUUACAGUAAAAUGUUGAGAAAAGGUAGAGCUAAUAGGCAUCUUUUUCCCACUCCUGAUCUUAAGGGAAAAGUGUUCAGCAAGCGAUUAAAUGAAGGUUUGUUGCACUUUAUCACUUGAAGGAAGUUUCCUCUAAUUACUAUUUUGCUGAAAGGGAUUUUCUAUUUCCUCUAAUUACUAUUUUUUGAAAGGGAUGUUCAAUUUUGUCAAUUACUUUGCCCACAGUUUUAAGAUAAUCACAUGGCUUUUCUCCUUUAUUUUCUAAAUGUGAUGAAUUACUUUGACUGCUUUCUGAGUGUUAAACCAAACUUGCAUGCUUGGCACAAAUCCCAUUGGUACUCCUAGAUCAUCAUUUUAUAUUUGGUUGGAUUAGAUUUCCUAAAAUGUAGUUAAAGAUUUUUUAUCUCUGUGUUCAUGAGGGAUAUUGAACUGUGAAUUUCUUUGUCAUUAGGUUUGGUAUUAGGAUAAUACUGGCCUAGAAGAAUGAGUUAGGAAAAAUUUCCUCCAUCUCUACUCUCUGAAAGAUUUUAUAUAACACUAGUAAAAUAUUGUCCUUACAAGUCUGAUAGAAUUCACCAGGAAAACCAUCUGGAUCUUUAGUUUUCAUCAUGGAAAGGAGUUUAGAGUCACUUGGCCACUUGUUGUCCUUUUAAUAUCUGUCAGAUCUGUAGUGAUGCACCCCUCUUUAUUCCUGAUGUUGGCCAUUUGAUUUUUUCCUUUCUAUUUCUUGAUAUAACUUGCUAGAGGUUUAUCAGUUUUAUUAAUCUUUUAAAAAUCCACAUUUAGCUUUGUUAAUUUUCUCUAAUACACAUUUUCUAUUUCUACUCUUCUACUAUUUCUUUAUCUCUCCUGACUUUGGUUUUAAUUUACUCUCCUAUUUCUCUAAUCUUAGGAUGGAAAACUAAAUCUUUGUUUUAAAAUCUUAUCUUUUGAUACAAGCACUUAACUCUGUAACAUUCUCUUAAGUACUGCUUGAGCUACAUCUCAAAAAUUUUGAUUUGCUGUGUUUUAGUUAUCAUUAAAUUCAAAAUGUUUUCUAAUUUUCCCAAUUUCUUCUUUGACCCAUUGGUUAAAUAGAAGUUUGUUUUAUUUACGCAUAUUUGAAUAUUUUCUAGAUAUCUUACUGGUUUUGAUUUCUACUUUAAUUCUAUUGCUGUCAGGUAAAAAUACUCUGCAUGAUUUCUCUCUCUUAAAAUUUGCCAAGACAUUUUUUUUUUUUUGCCCAGUAUAUGCUUAUCUUCAUGAACAUUCCACGUACAGUUGAAAAAGAAUAUGUAUUCAGUUAUUUUUGUGUACAAUAUUUUAUAAUAUUUGCUAUUUUAUUUAUUUUAUAAUUGCCAAUUAAAUGAAGAUAAAUCUUCUAUGCUCUUACUUGUUUUUGUCUACCUGUUCUAAUAAAUAUUGUGAGAGGGUUGUUAAAAUCUCAAACUAUUAUUGUAAUCUGUCUACUUUAGUUUGGACAGUUUUUGCCUUAUAUAUUUUGAAAUUCUGAUAUUAAGUGCAUAAACAUUUAAGAUAUUUUUAUCUUCCUAGUGAAUUGACCCUUUUGUCAUUAGAACACGUCCCUCUGUAUAGCCAGUAACAAUCCUUGUCUUGAAAUCUGAUUUGACUGAUGUUAAUUUAGCCCCAUCGUAUCUGUUAUUCUUAGAAUGACCAGCAUCCCAGGUUGCCAGGAAAUGUCCCGCUUUCAGCCCUGUAGUCCCACAUCCUGGAAAAACUCCCAAUUCCUGGCAAAAUGGGAACGUUAGUCACCGUUGUUAUCCUAGUGUUCGCAUGGUAUAUCUUGUUACAUCAUUUUGUUUUCAACCUCAUAUAAAACAAAUAUAGUUGGGUCUUGCUUUUGCUCAUCCAGUUAAGGAAACUCUGCCUUUUAAAUGGCGUGGUUGGUCCAAUUAUAUUUAAUGUGAUUACUUAUUUGGUUGCAUUCAAAUCUGCUAUCUAUGUAGUGUAGAAUAAUUCCAGGUGCUUCACAUCCUUGCUGACAUUUGCAAUGGCAGAUUUUUUCAAAUUUAUUCUGGUGACGUGUAGUGGUAUCUCACUGUGGUUUUUUUAUUUCCCUCGUUACUAACAAUGCUGAGCACUUUUCGUGUACUUAUUGGACAUUAGUGAAUAUUUUUUGGUAAGGGAUUGAUAACAUUUACUUUCUAGGGUUGCUUUAAGAGAUUUUGAACAUUGCAUAAAGCAUAAUGUUAGUACACAAUAAAUGCCAAG